UACGAAGGGGGCUAGCGUUGUUCGGAUUUACUGGGCGUAAAGCGCACGUAGGCGGGUCGUUAAGUCGGGGGUGAAAUCCUGGAGCUCAACUCCAGAACUGCCUUCGAUACUGGCGACCUAGAGUCCGGAAGAGGUGAGUGGAACUCCUAGUGUAGAGGUGGAAUUCGUAGAUAUUAGGAAGAACACCAGUGGCGAAGGCGGCUCACUGGCCCGGUACUGACGCUCAUGUGCGAAAGCGUGGGGAGCAAACAGG
RNAcentral lists this ribosomal RNA (253 nucleotides) under uncultured bacterium. RNAcentral's name for it is "partial 16S ribosomal RNA". It matches the Rfam family "Bacterial small subunit ribosomal RNA", at positions 524 to 776 of the family's 1533-position model. The record is from RNAcentral.